UCCAGUGGUAGUCAGCUGCCCAUUGCCGCUCAGUGCGGGGGACAGUGUUAUGCUGCUGGGAGAGAAACGUGCUGGCAAGUCACGCCUGGCGCCGCUCGUGCUGUCCUAGUGCCAGACGGGGCCAGGUUUUGGCAGCGCUCUGCAUGCUUGAGAGUGGAGUAACUCUGUUCCAGUAGAGUUAAUCCUAGAUUGGAUGCAGACAAA
Small nucleolar RNA from Nothoprocta perdicaria, 204 nucleotides. Its record names the gene SNORA74. It matches the Rfam family "Small nucleolar RNA SNORA74". From Rfam's summary of the family: U19 belongs to the H/ACA class of snoRNAs. snoRNAs bind a number of proteins (including dyskerin, Gar1p and Nop10p in the case of the H/ACA class) to form snoRNP complexes. This class are thought to guide the sites of modification of uridines to pseudouridines by forming direct base pairing interactions with substrate RNAs. NCBI's taxonomy places the organism in Eukaryota, Metazoa, Chordata, Aves, Tinamiformes, Tinamidae. The record is from Ensembl.